GGGUCAGUAGGUUGGUCGUGCCACCGGUACGUACUGGUCUCACUGAUUCCUCCUUCCUGAAGAACCGUAAUGCCACUAAUUUGGUGUUGCGGGGAAAAAGGACUGUUACUUUGAAAAAAUUAGAGUGUUUAAAGCAAGCUAACGCUUGAAUACAUUAGCAUGGAAUAAUGAAAUAGGACGAUCGAUCCUAUUUUGUUGGUUUCUAGGAUUGACGUA
RNAcentral lists this ribosomal RNA (216 nucleotides) under Glomeromycotina sp. Its description in RNAcentral is "partial small subunit ribosomal RNA". The stretch from base 40 to 216 matches the Rfam family "Eukaryotic small subunit ribosomal RNA", at positions 686 to 864 of the family's 1831-position model. The record is from RNAcentral. Lineage: Eukaryota; Fungi; Glomeromycota.